CCUACGGGGAGCUGCAGUGAGGAAUAUUGGUCAAUGGGCUUACGCCUGAACCAGCCAAGUCGCGUGAGGGAAGACUGCCCUAUGGGUUGUAAACCUCUUUUGUCAGGGAGCAACGCCGGCUACGUGUAGCCGGACUGAGAGUACCUGAAGAAAAAGCAUCGGCUAACUCCGUGCCAGCAGCCGCGGUAAUACGGAGGAUGCGAGGAUUAUCCGGAUUUAUUGGGUUUAAUGGGUGCGUAGGCGGAAUGCCAAGUCAGCGGUAAAAUGGCGGGGCUCAACCUCGCUCCGCCGUUGAAACUGGCGUUCUUGAGAGGGCGAGAAGUAUGCGGAAUGCGUGGUGUAGGAGUGAAAUGCAUAGAUAUUACGCAGAACUCCGAUUGCGAAGGCAGCAUACCGGCGCCCAACUGACGCUGAAGCACGAAAGCGUAGGUAUCGAACAGGAUUAGAUACCCGUGUAGUC
RNAcentral lists this ribosomal RNA (460 nucleotides) under uncultured bacterium. Its description in RNAcentral is "partial 16S ribosomal RNA". It matches the Rfam family "Bacterial small subunit ribosomal RNA", at positions 338 to 795 of the family's 1533-position model. The record is from RNAcentral.